RNAcentral lists this unclassified non-coding RNA (285 nucleotides) under plant metagenome. RNAcentral describes it as "partial contains small subunit ribosomal RNA, internal transcribed spacer 1, and 5.8S ribosomal RNA". The stretch from base 1 to 54 matches the Rfam family "Eukaryotic small subunit ribosomal RNA", at positions 1778 to 1831 of the family's 1831-position model. The record is from RNAcentral.
GGAGGUAAAAGUCGUAACAAGGUUUCCGUAGGUUAACCUGCGGAAGGAUCAUUAUUGUAUAACCGAGGUGCGAGGGCUGUCGCUGACCCGAAAGGUCGUGCACGCCCGAGUGCCCUCACACACACCCAUCUCACCCCUAUGUGCACCACCGCGUGGGUCCCCCUUUGGCUUGUUCGGAGGGGGGCUUACGUUUUCACACAAACUUUGUAUGCAGUGUAGAAUGUAUUUUUUGUUUUUGCGAUCACGCAAUCAAUACAACUUUCAACAACGGAUCUCUUGGCUCUC